RNAcentral lists this ribosomal RNA (292 nucleotides) under uncultured bacterium. RNAcentral describes it as "partial 16S ribosomal RNA". The record is from RNAcentral.
GGACUACCGGGGUAUCUAAUCCUGUUUGCUCCCCACGCUUUCGUACCUCAGCGUCAGUAUUGGUCCAGAAAGUUGCCUUCGCCAUUGAUGUUUCUCCCGAUAUCUACGCAUUUCACCGCUACACCGGGAAUUCCACUUUCCUCUACCAUACUCUAGAUAUCCAGUAUCGGAUGCAGUUCCCAGGUUAAGCCCGGGGAUUUCACAUUCGACUUAAAUAUCCGCCUACGCACGCUUUACGCCCAGUAAUUCCGAUUAACGCUCGCACCCUCUGUAUUACCGCGGCUGCUGGCAC